This 468-nucleotide ribosomal RNA is filed under the name uncultured bacterium. RNAcentral's name for it is "partial 16S ribosomal RNA". It matches the Rfam family "Bacterial small subunit ribosomal RNA", at positions 28 to 507 of the family's 1533-position model. The record is from RNAcentral.
GAUGAACGCUGACAGCAUGCUUAACACAUGCAAGUCUACUUGAAUUUGGGUUUUUUAACUUAGAUUUGGGUGGCGGACGGGUGAGUAACGCGUAAAGAACUUGCCUCACAGUUAGGGACAACAUUUGGAAACGAAUGCUAAUACCUGAUAUUAUGAAUAUAUGGCAUCAUAUAAUUAUGAAAGCUAUAAGCGCUGUGAGAGAGCUUUGCGUCCCAUUAGCUAGUUGGAGAGGUAACGGUUCACCAAGGCGAUGAUGGGUAGCCGGCCUGAGAGGGUGAACGGCCACAAGGGGACUGAGACACGGCCCUUACUCCUACGGGAGGCAGCAGUGGGGAAUAUUGGACAAUGGACCAAGAGUCUGAUCCAGCAAUUCUGUGUGCACGAUGACGUUUUUCGGAAUGUAAAGUGCUUUCAGUUGGGAAGAAAAAAAUGACGGUACCAACAGAAGAAGUGACGGCUAAAUACGUG